UACGUAGGGGCCUAGCGUUGUCCGGAUUUAUUGGGCGUAAAGGGCUCGUAGGCGGCCUGUCGCGUCGGGAGUGAAAGCCCACUGCUUAACGGUGGGUCUGCUUCCGGUACGGGCGGGCUGGAGUAUGGCAGGGGAGACUGGAAUUCCUGGUGUAGCGGUGGAAUGCGCAGAUAUCAGGAGGAACACCGGUGGCGAAGGCGGGUCUCUGGGCCAUUACUGACGCUGAGGAGCGAAAGCGUGGGGAGCGAACAGG
RNAcentral lists this ribosomal RNA (253 nucleotides) under uncultured bacterium. Its description in RNAcentral is "partial 16S ribosomal RNA". It matches the Rfam family "Bacterial small subunit ribosomal RNA", at positions 524 to 776 of the family's 1533-position model. The record is from RNAcentral.